UCCGUAGGUGAACCUGCGGAGGGAUCAUUACCGAGUUAGGGUCUCACCGGCCCGAAUCUCCCAACCCUUUGUCUACUUGACCAUCGUUGCUUCGGCGAGCCCGUCCUCACGGACCGCCGGGGGGUCUUCGUACCCCUUGGCCCGUGCUCGUCGAUAGCCCCCAAACUUGAAAAAUCUUUAACUAAACGUGUCUUGAAUCUAAGUAUUAUUGUUAAAUAAAAACAAAACUUUCAACAACGGAUCUCUUGGUUCUGGCAUCGAUGAAGAACGCAGCGAAAUGCGAUAAGUAAUGCGAAUUGCAGAAUUCCAGUGAGUCAUCGAAUCUUUGAACGCACAUUGCGCCCUUUGGUAUUCCGAAGGGCAUGCCUGUUCGAGCGUCAUUAUCACCCCUCAAGCCCUCGGCUUGGUGUUGGACGGUUUGGUGGAGGCCCCCUUUGCGGGCCUUUACCCCUCCCAAAGACAAUGACGGCGGCCUCGUUGGACCCCCGGUACACUGAGUUCUUCACGGGACACGUAUCGGACUACGGGUUUACGGGACACGGUCUGCCUCCCCUCAGGGAGAAUCUUUUUUAUCAAGGUUGACCUCGGAUCAGGUAGGGAUACCCGCUGAACUUAAGCAUAUCAAUAAGCGGAGGA
Molecule: ribosomal RNA, 636 nt
Filed under: Exophiala sp. Ppf18
Lineage: Eukaryota; Fungi; Ascomycota; Eurotiomycetes; Chaetothyriales; Herpotrichiellaceae
Description: eukaryotic LSU rRNA
Rfam family: 5.8S ribosomal RNA (bases 226-380)
Source: RNAcentral